UAUAAUCAACCUCAUCAUCACGUGUGUGCUGUGUUCACAUUAUCAUGGUUAUCAUCCAAAAGGAAAUCAAGCAAAGCAAUCAGAACAACUUCAUGAUUUGGAAUGAGAGAGAAAAAGACAUCAAUGAGAUCAUCUUGGAGAGAGACACAAACAUACUUUGCUUGUUUUUUUAUUAUCGCUGCAAAGCAUAAAAUAAUCACAGGAGACUUUGAAACAAAUGUAGCUUUUAUGUGUUGACAAAUGUAUUGAGUGGAGAGACGGUGACUUUUUUUUUUUUUUGUCUGUGCAAAUUAUUGCAAGAGGCAAUUCAGGUGCAACACUACCAAGGAGUAUCAGGGCCACACUGGAAAGGAAAAACCAUCAAAUACAGCAAAAAUAAAGGUGUAAAAUUGGAUGAAAAGCAAAUGAACUGUGUGUACAAAAUAAAGUCACGUAAAAAUUGGCACGUUUUAUUUUUGUGGCCAAAAGA
Molecule: long non-coding RNA, 469 nt
Organism: Hippocampus comes (tiger tail seahorse)
Lineage: Eukaryota; Metazoa; Chordata; Actinopteri; Syngnathiformes; Syngnathidae
Exons: 3
Source: RefSeq, a predicted model, not a curated record